CAGCGCCAAAUUAACUCCUCCCCGAAAACACAUCAUCUUAAAGCGAUAGCUUAGUAUACCCAGCAAAAAGCGAUCACUGCGUUCAGGCUGUCCUGCGAUGAAGAUCCUUAAUUUACAGUCUUUCCACUUCUUCCUGGUGGUGAGGAUGUAGGGGAGCAGCAGGGAGAUCUCAUGAAGUAUCUCAAUGAAUUUGGUGGACAGAUCAAGCUUGGGCCAGGACAAAACUGAUCAGAUUUUGGUCAUGACCAGAUUGUCUGCAAUAGUAUCAGGGAGGACAGGAUGUGUCCUUGUGCAUGUAUCUGUUACAAUCAAGGUACCUAAGAGAAUGCUGCUUAGGGGAACCAACACCUACCUCCAUC
Long non-coding RNA from Xiphias gladius (swordfish), 359 nucleotides. RefSeq lists it as uncharacterized. The record is from RefSeq and is a predicted model, not a curated record. The transcript has 4 exons. Lineage: Eukaryota; Metazoa; Chordata; Actinopteri; Istiophoriformes; Xiphiidae.